RNAcentral lists this ribosomal RNA (496 nucleotides) under uncultured bacterium. RNAcentral's name for it is "partial 16S ribosomal RNA". It matches the Rfam family "Bacterial small subunit ribosomal RNA", at positions 28 to 506 of the family's 1533-position model. The record is from RNAcentral.
GAUGAACGCUGGCGGCGUGCCUAAUACAUGCAAGUCGAACGCAUAGCGAAAGGUGCUUGCACCUUUCAAGUGAGUGGCGAACGGGUGAGUAACACGUGGACAACCUGCCUCAAGGCUGGGGAUAACAUUUGGAAACAGAUGCUAAUACCGAAUAAAACUUAGUGUCGCAUGACACAAAGUUAAAAGGCGCUUCGGCGUCACCUAGAGAUGGAUCCGCGGUGCAUUAGUUAGUUGGUGGGGUAAAGGCCUACCAAGACAAUGAUGCAUAGCCGGGUUGAGAGACUGAUCGGCCACAUUGGGACUGAGACACGGCCCAAACUCCUACGGGAGGCUGCAGUAGGGAAUCUUCAACAAAGGGCGAAAGCCUGAUGGAGCAACGCCGCGUGUGUGAUGAAGGCUUUCGGGUCGUAAAGCACUGUUGUAUGGGAAGAACAGCUAGAAUAGGAAAUGAUUUUAGUUGGACGGUACCAUACCAGAAAAGGACGGCUAAAUACGU